UGAAAUACCACCCUUUAAUGUUUGAUGUUCUAACGUGGACCCGUAAUCCGGGUUGCGGACAGUGUCUGGUGGGUAGUUUGACUGGGGCGGUCUCCUCCUAAAGAGUAACGGAGGAGCACGAAGGUUGGCUAAUCCUGGUCGGACAUCAGGAGGUUAGUGCAAUGGCAUAAGCCAGCUUGACUGCGAGCGUGACGGCGCGAGCAGGUGCGAAAGCAGGUCAUAGUGAUCCGGUGGUUCUGAAUGGAAGGGCCAUCGCUCAACGGAUAAAAGGUACUCCGGGGAUAACAGGCUGAUACCGCCCAAGAGUUCAUAUCGACGGCGGUGUUUGGCACCUCGAUGUCGGCUCAUCACAUCCUGGGGCUGAAGUAGGUCCCAAGGGUAUGGCUGUUCGCCAUUUAAAGUGGUACGCGAGCUGGGUUUAGAACGUCGUGAGACAGUUCGGUCCCUA
This 448-nucleotide ribosomal RNA is filed under the name Escherichia coli. RNAcentral's name for it is "partial 23S ribosomal RNA". It matches the Rfam family "Bacterial large subunit ribosomal RNA", at positions 2193 to 2640 of the family's 2925-position model. The record is from RNAcentral. Lineage: Bacteria; Pseudomonadati; Pseudomonadota; Gammaproteobacteria; Enterobacterales; Enterobacteriaceae.